CAUAUUUAAAACAUCCAACAGCAGCAACCUCUUAAUCUCAAGGUUCCCUCUUAGAGCUGUGCAACAUUUUCAGACUCCAACCAAUCCUUGCACCCUUAUUUAUUGCCAACAAUUUGUAAUUCUUGACAAUUUAUGUAAAUAACUCUGGCCUUGAAGUUUUUGCCUUUAUAAGCAUCCUCCAUUUUGUUGUCUGGUUCAAGGUUUUUUCCACCUUGAGAUUCAGGUUUCAUGGGGUUUUUUUCUCUGCCACUUACGUAGAAAUUUGAGUUUCAUGUUUUCUUUUCACUUUUGGUGAUUUCUCAGAAUAAUGAGAUGUUCAUGUUGCAACAGAACAAACGGUGGGGAAAAAAUGUAAUUGUAAUGUAUACAUAUAAGGAUAACUUUAUCCCCUUGCUGUACAGUGGGAAAAUAAAAAAAAAAAGAAUGAUGAGAAGUUCUUAUAGGAGACAUUCAAAGAAAGGUGAACCCCCUCCCCAGGAACCCUUCCUGACUUUAUGUUUAACACCUAUAGAACUUUAUUCUAUAACUGCCUAUAUAAAUGUGUUCAUUUAGCUUGAGAUGAUUUAAAGUUACAUUGUUCAAAAUGGGAAACUUUCGAACCUCCAAAUUAGUCGUGACUAGAGAAAAGUAUCAGAACCAGACAUAUAAAGGUAAGUACAGUGUAACUGGUACUAGAGGUACAUAACACUGAGAAAAUUGUCUCCCUCCAAGUUGUAGAUGAAAAGUUGAUACAGACUGUCCUAAAACUUGAAAAAUCAGUUGAACAUUGUCACCCUUCUCCUACUCUCUUCCCAAAUUCUUCAUCUUCCUCUAUCCCUUUACCUGCCUCUUUCCAAACUCCUUUUUUUUAUCCAACUGAUUCCCUCCACAUUACUCCUCCACCAGACCCCCUUCCUCCUCUUCUUCCUCUACUAAUGGGUGUUCCUGAGCCUGAAGUCCUUCUCUACCUCCCUGUUCUGACAGCCCCUUUAAAAACUAAGCCCACUAGACAAAGGGGUAAAAGCAGCCCCAUCUCAGCAAUUUCCCAAGCUUUCUUACAAAUAAUCAGAAAAUAAAUCAGCUGGAAGCCAAUAUUCAAGGACUAAUAGAAAAAACAGCCUUUGUCUUAACAAUUUCUACAAAACCAGAAGUACAACUCUAGAAACAAGCCA
This 1151-nucleotide long non-coding RNA is filed under the name Sus scrofa (pig). Its description in RNAcentral is "lncRNA (ENSSSCG00065064523.1)". Lineage: Eukaryota; Metazoa; Chordata; Mammalia; Artiodactyla; Suidae. The record is from RNAcentral.